UCCCAUCUGCAGCAGAGCUGAACUUUGGGAAAGUUGAGCAGCUUUUCUGAUUGCUCUGGGAAGGUAAAUGUGUUUGAAGUGCAAACGUGCGAGCGUGUUUUGGGGAUCCGAGCUUUGGCUCUUGCAAACUGGUAGCAAAGAGGUGUGUUUUCUUUUACUUUUCCUGCUCUUUCUUCUUUUUAGUGGUUCCUAUAAAUGCAAUCCUUCAAGUGUGUGUGCUGUAAAAGACUGCUCCCCCUUCUCUCCCCACCCUCUCCUUUAAGGCUGAAAAUGAGACUCGUUCGUGAAUAAUGAACUCUGUAUGUUAUCAAGCAAAUCUUGUGGCUGCUUCAUGUGAUCGCUUCCAGUCUCAGCAGAGAUGUUAUUGCCUUUAAUACAUUCACAGCUUUUUAUGGAAAAUGAAUUGCAAAACUGCUAGCAGAGGGGUGAGGGAAAGCAAUUUGAUUUGAUAACAACAUGUUUCAGCGUAGCAGACUGUUGUGCUUUUAAAUUUUUAAGUGCUUUCUACUUUUUCUUCCUGCAUUUGAAGACGUCUUUAGAGGUCUUGAAACAACCUUAGGAAGAGGAAAGAGGGUCAUUUUUCUUCUGCGACUUUGUGCUGCCUAAUGGAGAUUUUUUUUUCUGAGCGUAGGCCACACAGCCAAGGAACAAAAUGACCACAGAGCAAGAAGUGAAAUGGACUCAAAUAAUUAGAAACUGGCUGUAGUUAAUGAUUGUUUGCAGCAGGUCAGAAGCAUUUGGUUAGGUUUUGUCCUCCUGUGUUCUUUAGGGCGGUCGUAUUGCUUAUUAAAAGUGAACAUUUUGUUUUCUAAGUGUGAAAAGUAUACUCAGCCUUCAGCAUUUGAUUCAGAUGGCUUUUAGAGACUUGAGAUAAUUAAAUAACUAGAUAUGCAAAUGCAUAGUCCUUGUGUCUCCAAGCCAUGUGCUUACUGUUUGCUUAUUUUAAGGUGGGAAUUGAUUUUCUUUGCAGAGGAUCUCAGGAGGAGAAAGGGUACCAGGUCAGCCACGAUGCUCCUGGUUAUGGAGUGGGAAGUGCACAAUCCAGGAGCAAAGUACAAUAAUUGGCUGUGCUGCUGCUCGCCACUCACGGCUAAAAGCUCUAUGGGAAAGAAACAAAACCCUCAGCAUCUCGUCUUUGCAGAGGAUGUUCCAAGUGGGAAGCAGCUCUUUGGACACGGAGCCCGUAUCUUAACACCCCUAUCUGUGAUCCAUCUGUAACAUCUGCUGAAUGGGUACCAGCCAGAUACUCCCCCAUCUCUGUUUUCAUCCUUCAUCUUUCCAGGUAUUCCCAAAGCAAAUCUACAGCUGCUCACCGACUGAAUUUAAAUCCUUGUGUAUUUUAAACAAAGAGAAGGGGUCUGUGUGCUCCUUGGGAACACCUGGGCCUUUCCAAGGUUUCAUUACCUUCAGAGUAAGCAUUUCUUUGCAAUGAAGGCAUGUCCUCUGAAACCAGCCGCAGUCGAUAGGCAGA
This 1471-nucleotide long non-coding RNA is filed under the name Coturnix japonica (Japanese quail). Its description in RNAcentral is "lncRNA (ENSCJPG00005008473.1)". Lineage: Eukaryota; Metazoa; Chordata; Aves; Galliformes; Phasianidae. The record is from RNAcentral.